AAAGUCGUAACAAGGUUUCCGUAGGUGAACCUGCGGAAGGAUCAUUAUUGAAUGAACUUGGUGUGGUUGUCGCUGGCCCUCUUGGGGGCAUGUGCACACCUACCAUCCUCAUCUCUCCACCUGUGCACCUCUUGUAGAUUUGGAAUUGAUUAUCCGAGGCAACUCGGUCGUGAGGACUGCUAGCACUUAGCUGGCUUUCUUUGCAAUUCCAGGUCUAUGUUUUUCAUAUACCCCAUUGUAUGUAACAGAAUGUAUCAUUGGGCCUUGUGCCUAUAAACCUUAUACAACUUUCAGCAACGGAUCUCUUGGCUCUC
RNAcentral lists this unclassified non-coding RNA (314 nucleotides) under Basidiomycota sp. Its description in RNAcentral is "partial contains small subunit ribosomal RNA, internal transcribed spacer 1, and 5.8S ribosomal RNA". The stretch from base 1 to 47 matches the Rfam family "Eukaryotic small subunit ribosomal RNA", at positions 1785 to 1831 of the family's 1831-position model. Lineage: Eukaryota; Fungi; Basidiomycota. The record is from RNAcentral.